GCUUCUUUUCUACCGAGUGCUUGCACUCAUUUGAAAAGAGGAGUGGCGGUACGGGUGAGUAACACGUGGGUAACCUGCCCAUCAGAAGGGGAUAACACUUGGAAACAGGUGCUAAUACCGUAUAACAGUCGACACCGCAUGGUGUUGAUUUGAAAGACGCUUUCGGGUGUCACUGGAUGGAUGGACCCGCGGUGCAUUAGCUAGUUGGUGAGGUAACGGCUCACCAAGGCGAUGAUGCAUAGCCGACCUGAGAGGGUGAUCGGCCACACUGGGACUGAGACACGGCCCAGACUCCUACGGGAGGCAGCAGUAGGGAAUCUUCGGCAAUGGACGAAAGUCUGACCGAGCAACGCCGCGUGAGUGAAGAAGGUUUUCGGAUCGUAAAACUCUGUUGUUAGAGAAGAACAAGUAGGAGAGUAACUGCUCUUACCUUGACGGUAUCUAACCAGAAAGCCACGGCUAACUACGUGCCAGCAGCCGCGGUAAUACGUAGGUGGCAAGCGUUGUCCGGAUUUAUUGGGCGUAAAGCGAGCGCAGGCGGUUUCUUAAGUCUGAUGUGAAAGCCCCCGGCUCAACCGGGGAGGGUCAUUGGAAACUGGGAGACUUGAGUGCAGAAGAGGAGAGUGGAAUUCCAUGUGUAGCGGUGAAAUGCGUAGAUAUAUGGAGGAACACCAGUGGCGAAGGCGACUCUCUGGUCUGUAACUGACGCUGAGGCUCGAAAGCGU
This 725-nucleotide ribosomal RNA is filed under the name uncultured bacterium. Its description in RNAcentral is "bacterial SSU rRNA". It matches the Rfam family "Bacterial small subunit ribosomal RNA", at positions 68 to 762 of the family's 1533-position model. The record is from RNAcentral.